GAAAGGUUUCGGAGGUGUCUCCAUGGUAGCCAUUGUAAUAGACCUAAACACAGGCACACAUUUUAAGCUCUAGGCUUAGACAUGAUACACAAUGACAAGAAGAAAUGAGGUGGACACGUCAGCAUCGUAACGGCGAGCAGGAGAAGUUCAUGCGGAGAAUGGAAGUGGCUCGUGGCAGUAAGGAAACAUGUUAUAAAAAAUUCUAUGUCUAAAAAUGGAAUUCGAAUCAAAUGUUCCAGAGAGCAUGAUGUAACCGAGAACACUCUGCAUGGAUUUUUAAAGAGUUAGAGCAAAUCACAAAGCAAGCUGAGGGGUAAAGCCACAGAAAGAUAAUUUUAUCGUUCUUUUAUGACGCAGAAGCGCCAUGUGAUUUUGAACGACAUCGGGCUCAUCAUGAGAGACCAAUGAUUACAGCACCAGAGCACAUGGAGGGGGCAGAGGAGACUGGUUGGCUGUUGACCCUUGGACACCAUGUGGCAUUUACUGUUUUGCAUAAACUUAGCCCAUCUAAUUAUCUUCACGGUUCCCCUUUUCCUGAGGUGAACACAGGGACUCUGAGAAGAUCUGUUUAUUUAAGCUUUGUCUGAGUUAAUGUCAUACCCAUCGCCAUCAGGCAAUGAAGACCAUGUUCUCCUGGGCAGCAAGAAGAUGAUGCAAAAGGCUUCACAGAGAUCGCUGGCUUUUAAGUCAGGAAACUGAGGCAGAGACAAAUAAAGUGUGCGGGUUCCUGACAGAGGAGAAAGGUACAUCCCAACCAGUCUGGUAGACUGAUGGCUUCUUAAUCCCCCCACGGUACAGCCAUGCUUGCUAAUUCAUUCCCACUUACAUUCCCUUCCAGAAAAAUGUAAGCUUUUGUCAUAUACACUAAUUUAUAAUUUGUUAAUAUAAGUGUAGUUAUUCAAGAAAUUUUGCAACUGCAUGUUUUUAAGUAAAAUGUAUUCUUUAACUUCAUUUAGCUCGCUGUUCCAUGUUACCUUAAAAUUAAAAAUAUGUAGAAA
Molecule: small RNA, 998 nt
Filed under: Rattus norvegicus (Norway rat)
Lineage: Eukaryota; Metazoa; Chordata; Mammalia; Rodentia; Muridae
Description: uncharacterized LOC108350393
Source: RNAcentral